This 998-nucleotide long non-coding RNA is filed under the name Chrysemys picta bellii (western painted turtle). Its description in RNAcentral is "lncRNA (ENSCPBG00000002403.1)". The record is from RNAcentral. Lineage: Eukaryota; Metazoa; Chordata; Testudines; Emydidae.
UGGCAGGGCCUUUUACAGGAACUGCACCCGCCCUGCACCUUCUCUCUGCUUGCACACACCCCUCACGAGAGCGUAACCUUCGCCGGUUGUUUCUGUUUCAUUCUGUAUAAUCCCUCCAACCGCCUGAGGCUUCACAGGCAUCGGAGAAGGGUCCAGCAAAGCCAUUUAAUACCUAACACAAGACAGGGCGGAUUUCCCACGGUGAAUUCCUCGACAGACAUCCCCCAGGGGCCUCUCCACUGAGUCCCUUCUCCACGUGACGGAGUUCAUUAUCUCUGCAGCAUGUCGGUCAAUGUCAAAGUCACACUGCGUGAAAUCCUGAGUGAUCUGAGUGAGGAAAACUUCAAAGCAUUCAAAUGGUAUCUGGUGAAUGGAGUUGAUGACAAGACAAUACGCUGUCGCUAUUUGGAAUUAGCCGACCGGGAAAAGACCGUCGAUGAGAUACUGAGCCACUUCGGCAGCUCUGAUGCCCUCGAAAAAACCAGGGAGAUCCUGGAAGCCGUACCUAGGAGAGAUCUCGCCGACAAGCUCAUGAAGAAAGUGCCAGUAGCAAAACAAGCUCAGGAGAGAAAAAAGGAGACGCUAAAGGAGCCCACAGAGGAGACGCUAAAGAAGACCACAGCGGAGGAGCGCAUGAAAGAAACAAUGACCAAUAGGAUUGCAAAUGUGAAGGGGGCUGUUGUCCGACAGGUCCUUACUGCCAGCCUCGAGACACUGAGAAAAGAUCAAUUUGAAAAGUUCAAAGAUGUUCUGUGCAAGACACCCAUGAAGGAGCUUGUGGCGGAAGGAGAUGCUUUCCUUGACGCACCCAAUACAUUCCAGAGGGACGCCAGCCUAGAAAACCUUGUCGAGGAUUUGAUAGGCAAAUUCGGCCGGACUUACGCACUGAGGGCAACUGCGACGGUGCUGGAAAAAAUAGGGAGAAGGGACCUCGCUAAAGAACUCCAGGGAGAAUUACAAGCCCUGCAAGUGACCUCUCAUGGACUGAGAAGAAAACC